GUCACACGAUCGCUUUGCUUAGUGGCAUGCUGUGAUUUGUGGCUAGUGGGAAAGCACCAUGACAGACAGUGCUGUUGCACACAGCAUGAAGAUAAAAUAAAUUAUGCUGUGACUCAUAAAAAUCAAAAUCAAAAAAAACCUUCCUGCCCAGCAUAACCUGCAAUCAUAACACAGCAUGUUAAUGCCCUGCUUAAAAUAAAACAGCCACAGACUGGGGACACUUUUUUCUUUUUAAUUUUUUGUUUUGUUUUGUUUUUUUUCAGGAUUUUUUGCAAUGCUUAAUUCCCUCUUCUCCCUGGGUAUUGCAGAUGUCUCCAGGCACCAGGGGACACGAUGAAGGCAUGCACUGCAGAAAUGGCACUGUGAUGAUAUCCCAGAUUGCCAUUUGGACCUGGAUCUAGGGCUGCAGCCCUACCAGAAGGAGGAAGAGGUGUGUUAACUGCACCAUCUGAGGAGAAGAGGAAGCAGAGAUGAGCAGAGGGAGCAGAGAGAACAAGCUCAGUGUGAGAUGCUGGCCUCAACACUUGACCGAUAUAAGCUGCUAUCAAAGCCAGAUUGUCAAAGGAUGGGACAUUAAUGAUUAGAGAUUAACUAGAAAAGAUAUAUCUGAAACAUGCCUGGUAGGAAACAAGAUUGUGUCAUCAUUGUCUGAGUACACUUAUCUGUCUUUUUUUUUGCUUUUACUUACACAUAUUCUUGACACAAGGGAACAUGCAAAAGUUAUUUUGACUGAGAUAAAAAAUACUUCAAGCCAAGUUCAACCCUAGUUAAUUCUCCAUCUCUUGGAAAAACAUGUUUGAGUGGUUUCAAUGAUGAUUUGGGGGAAUGUUGAGACUUUUUUGUCUCACCCUAAAAUUACAUGGUCUGGAAAACAACACUAAAAAAAGGAAUACAUAUAUCUCCAAUUGCUUUUCAGACAUCACAUACUGCAAUAGCCUCCAGUUUUGGUAACACAGAAUGAGUUUCUGUAAAUCAUGAGGAGCAAGGUGACAUUGAAGUCUAGCAAGGUAGCAAAAAACAAGGUUCCUCUGCAGAGGUGGUGCCCCUGCACAUCACGGAUCAUUUGGCAGAACAUGCAGGUGAAAUGGCAUCCAUCUCUGGCUUGAGGGUGCAGCUCUGAAAGACAACUUUAAUUUCCAACACCCGCCUUAAAUUGCUAUUGAAUUUGGCACAAAUGAAGUAGGGCAUCAGGAGCUUAUUAAAGAUGCAUCAUUGUAGCUAGUACAGCAAUUCCUUUAUAAAAUACAUCUUUAUAAGAAAGACAUAUUGCUGCUUUUUUUUUUUUUUUUUUUUUUUUUUUUUUUUUUUUAAUCCUCUAUUCUAAGCAGUAGAAAAGGAAGAUCUGCAAUGAAAUGAAAAAGUCCAUGUUUGGAUGGCAAGUCAGACAAGGCUAGACUUUUUCACUGACAGGAGCCUUAAAAAGACCCUGGGUUCGUGUUUGGAGAAAUCCUUCAGAAUUUUAACAUCUCACUUGUGAAAUGACAAUACCCACAAGUUUAUCAUUGUCAGAAGCUAUUAGCAAGUACAAAUAUUCUCCAGAUGAAAAGCCUUUAUAUUUUCUCUUAAAAACUGCUGAUGGUUUUGUAUUUAUAGUGUUCAUAUUUGUGUGUUGAUUAGCAACACAUUUCCAGCUGCACUGAAAAUAUCUUUACAAUAUAGGGAGGAGGGCAACUUCAAGGCAGCAUUACCAGCUAGGAAAGCAUAAUUAUAUUUCACUCACUCAAGCUCCCCCUUCCACCCCCAAAUUAUGUGAGGCUCAUCCCAUUCUGUUGCCAAUUCCUUCCUUAGCAUCACUUACCAAGGCCAACUCACAUUCUACCACCAAGUUCCCCUCUUAGAAAGCUUCCUACUUGCAAGCAAAAACCAGAGCAAAGAUUAGUACUAACUCAACUCCCUGUUUCUGAUAUAUCACAAUCAUCUCCCACUCAUUAGAGUGACUGUCUCCAGUUUUGUAUAAAAGAAGGCAUUCUUAUCUCUGGAAAAAAAAAUAGUUUCUCCAAUUCAUGGUGUUUAUUCUGUCAUAUAUUUAUUUUUACACUGAUUUGUUACAGUGGAUAGCAAAUCCUUGCCCAAUCCCUAUCUAUAUCUGUCACUAAUCAGAUUAACUUGCAAAACUAUCACCUAACUGGACAAACACAUAUUAUUCUCCUGAUUAGCCUCCAGCCUAGAAUACAUCACUGCUGUCACUCUGGUAUUCCUAUCUCGUGGCCAGCGAUUCCUUACAUGGAAUCAGAUAAUCUAUUCAAAUAGUCCUGUAUUCUCCUGGAAGCUGACAGCAUAAAUAUAAUAAAGUUUAUUGUCAUCCUCCUGCU
Taeniopygia guttata (zebra finch) is the source of this 2312-nucleotide long non-coding RNA. RefSeq lists it as uncharacterized. NCBI's taxonomy places the organism in Eukaryota, Metazoa, Chordata, Aves, Passeriformes, Estrildidae. The record is from RefSeq and is a predicted model, not a curated record.